GUUGCUGGUGGAAUGGAGUAGACCCCAAAAGCUCAAAACCCAAACAAUGAUUCUCCCCGGCAAUUGAUUUAGAAACAACAAG
RNAcentral lists this non-coding RNA (82 nucleotides) under Leptocylindrus danicus. Lineage: Eukaryota; Bacillariophyta; Leptocylindrophyceae; Leptocylindrales; Leptocylindraceae. The record is from RNAcentral.